RNAcentral lists this ribosomal RNA (252 nucleotides) under uncultured bacterium. Its description in RNAcentral is "partial 16S ribosomal RNA". It matches the Rfam family "Bacterial small subunit ribosomal RNA", at positions 525 to 776 of the family's 1533-position model. The record is from RNAcentral.
ACGUAGGGGGCAAGCGUUAUCCGGAAUUACUGGGUGUAAAGGGAGCGUAGGCGGCAUGGUAAGUAAGAUGUGAAAGCCUUGGGCUUAACCUGAGGAUUGCAUUUUAAACUAUCAAGCUAGAGUACAGGAGAGGAAAGCGGAAUUCCUAGUGUAGCGGUGAAAUGCGUAGAUAUUAGGAAGAACACCGGUGGCGAAGGCGGCUUUCUGGACUGAAACUGACGCUGAGGCUCGAAAGCGUGGGGAGCGAACAGG